This is a non-coding RNA of Hordeum vulgare subsp. vulgare (domesticated barley), 110 nucleotides long. NCBI's taxonomy places the organism in Eukaryota, Viridiplantae, Streptophyta, Magnoliopsida, Poales, Poaceae. The record is from Rfam.
GUCCGAAAAUACUUGUCCUAGGAAUGGAUGUAUCUAGAUGUAUUNNAGUUCUAGAUACAUCCAUUUGUAUCAUUUUUGUGACAAGUAAUUCCGGACGGAGGGAGUAGUUA